Molecule: ribosomal RNA, 253 nt
Filed under: uncultured bacterium
Lineage: Bacteria
Description: partial 16S ribosomal RNA
Rfam family: Bacterial small subunit ribosomal RNA
Source: RNAcentral
UACGAAGGGGGCUAGCGUUGUUCGGAAUUACUGGGCGUAAAGCGCACGUAGGCGGGUCGUUAAGUUAGAGGUGAAAUCCCGGGGCUCAACCCCGGAACUGCCUUUGAUACUGGCGAUCUAGAGGUCGAGAGAGGUGAGUGGAAUUCCGAGUGUAGAGGUGAAAUUCGUAGAUAUUCGGAAGAACACCAGUGGCGAAGGCGGCUCACUGGCUCGAUACUGACGCUGAGGUGCGAAAGCGUGGGGAGCAAACAGG